UGGGGAUGACGUCAAGUCCUCAUGGCCCUUAUGGUAGGGCUUCACACGUCAUACAAUGGUCGGUACAGAGGGUUGCCAAGCCGCGAGGUGGAGCCAAUCCCUUAAAGCCGAUCGUAGUCCGGAUCGUAGUCUGCAACUCGACUACGUGAAGUCGGAAUCGCUAGUAAUCGCAGAUCAGCAUGCUGCGGUGAAUACGUUCCCGGGUCUU
RNAcentral lists this ribosomal RNA (208 nucleotides) under uncultured Thauera sp. Its description in RNAcentral is "partial 16S ribosomal RNA". It matches the Rfam family "Bacterial small subunit ribosomal RNA", at positions 1174 to 1382 of the family's 1533-position model. The record is from RNAcentral. Lineage: Bacteria; Pseudomonadati; Pseudomonadota; Betaproteobacteria; Rhodocyclales; Zoogloeaceae.